GUGCUCACUUCGGCAGUACAUAUACUAAAAUUGGAACAAUACAGAGAAGAUUAGAAUGGCCUCUAUGCAAGGAUGACACACAAAUUCAUGAAACAUUCCAUAUUUUU
Molecule: non-coding RNA, 107 nt
Organism: Pteropus alecto (black flying fox)
Lineage: Eukaryota; Metazoa; Chordata; Mammalia; Chiroptera; Pteropodidae
Source: Rfam